This 479-nucleotide ribosomal RNA is filed under the name uncultured bacterium. RNAcentral's name for it is "bacterial SSU rRNA". It matches the Rfam family "Bacterial small subunit ribosomal RNA", at positions 30 to 505 of the family's 1533-position model. The record is from RNAcentral.
UUGAACGCUGGCGGCAUGCCUUACACAUGCAAGUCGAACGGUAACAGGUCUUCGGAUGCUGACGAGUGGCGAACGGGUGAGUAAUACAUCGGAACGUGCCCGAGAGUGGGGGAUAACGGAGCGAAAGCUUUGCUAAUACCGCAUACGAUCUACGGAUGAAAGCAGGGGACCGCAAGGCCUUGCGCUCAUGGAGCGGCCGAUGGCAGAUUAGGUAGUUGGUGGGAUAAAAGCUUACCAAGCCGACGAUCUGUAGCUGGUCUGAGAGGACGACCAGCCACACUGGGACUGAGACACGGCCCAGACUCCUACGGGAGGCAGCAGUGGGGAAUUUUGGACAAUGGGCGCAAGCCUGAUCCAGCCAUGCCGCGUGCAGGAUGAAGGCCUUCGGGUUGUAAACUGCUUUUGUACGGAAAGAAAACGCAUCGGUGAAUACCCGGUGUGGAUGACGGUACCGUAAGAAGAAGCACCGGCUAACUACG